This is an RNA transcript of Beta vulgaris subsp. vulgaris (sugar beet), 1644 nucleotides long. It is a transcript of the gene named F-box/kelch-repeat protein SKIP6, with no coding region annotated. The record is from RefSeq and is a predicted model, not a curated record. The transcript has 4 exons. NCBI's taxonomy places the organism in Eukaryota, Viridiplantae, Streptophyta, Magnoliopsida, Caryophyllales, Amaranthaceae.
CUUUUUACAUGAGCAAAAUGCGCUCAGCGAACAGAGUUUGACAUGGUUAAAGGAUAAGCUUAAAUGGGCGUAUACAGGCACAACUCACAAGGCACAACCACCUCUAAAGUCCAACCUCAACAACAGUCUCAAGUCUUAACGAUCAUACGGACAUGUCCGAUCAACCUUCAUGUUCUGAUCCCAUUGAAAGCAAACAUGAGCAUGAGCAUGAGCAUGAGCAAUCGCUGAUCCCAAACCUCCCAAAAGACGUAGCACUUGAGUGCCUAGCUCGAACCCCUCGUUUCCAUCAUCCAUUCCUCUCUCUGGUCUGCAAAUCAUGGAGAUCCACUCUCAAUUCUCCUCUCUUCUACGCCACCCGCCGUGCACUCAAUUCCACCCAAUCAUUCCUCUUCCUCAACCUACGCCUUUACAACCCUAAAGAUUCCACCUUUUCCUUCAAAUGGUACUCUCUAGACCCUUCUACUAUCUUCCCCAAAAACACCCAAUUUACCCACAAAUCAACAACCCUAAUUCCAAUCAACCCCUCUCCGUACCACCCAAUUGGGGCUUCUUUCGUCUCAUUGGGUCGUCAUUUGUAUGUAAUUGGUGGCUCUGUUAAUGAUAUUCCAUCAUCUAAUUUCUGGGUGUUUGAUUGUUUGACUAAUAAGUGGGAAAUGGGACCCAAAAUGAGGGUUGGGAGGGAAUUUGCUGCUUCUGGGGUGGUUGAUGGCAAAAUUUAUGUGUUGGGGGGUUGUGUUGUGGAUAAUUGGGCUAGGUCUAUUAACUGGGCUGAGGUAUUUGACCCGGUUAGUGGGUCGUGGGCACCCGUCCCGAGCCCAAUUGAGGUGAGGGAUAAGUGGAUGCAUGCCAGUGCAGUGGUGGAAGGGAGGGUAUAUGCAAUGGCUGAUAGGGGUGGGGUGGUUUUCGACCCGGGAUUGGGGGAGUGGGGGCCAGUGUCAACGGAGCUUGAUAUGGGGUGGAGGGGGCGGGCUGCGGUGGUGGAUGGUGUGCUGUAUUGUUAUGAUUAUUUGGGGAAGAUAAGAGGUUUUGAUUUUGGGGAGAAUGUGUGGAAGGAGUUGAAAGGGUUAGAGAAGAGUUUGCCCAAGUUCUUGUGUGGUGCUACUAUGGCUAAUGUGGGUGGAAGUUUGUUUGUGGUUUGGGAAGGGAAAGCCAAUAGGAAGGAAAUAGAGGUGUUUUGUGCUGAGAUGUUGGUUAUCAAGGAUGCUUCUGGUGAAUUGUGGGGGUCGAUUGUGUGGUCGGAUGUCAUCAUUGUUAUUCCUAAGGGUUCAUCUGUGGUGCAUUGCUUGGAUGUUCAUUUGUGACUUGUGAAUUUUUCUGCUGCAAUAUCAGUAUGUUUGUUCACGAGUGUUAGCAAGCAAAGUGAUAGCACCUUUUGCCAGGGUCGCUCAGUGUUAUAGCCUCUUUUCCAUGUAGCAACUCACCGUCAGUUGGACGAGGAAAGUCUAUGGUGUUAUACGGUCUUGAAAGCUCUAUGUUUGAUAUUGAGAAGUGAUAAAAAGUUGAUAGAGAGGUGGAGAAAUCUCUACCUGUUGACUUGUGAACAGUUGAUUGUCAAUUUACAUGUUUAUAAAAUUCUUAAUAUUACUGUUUGGUUCAUCUUACUUUCUCUCAUUAUGUAAUAUAAAACUAGUUAUUAGGUCCGGA